Molecule: long non-coding RNA, 1827 nt
Filed under: Helianthus annuus (common sunflower)
Lineage: Eukaryota; Viridiplantae; Streptophyta; Magnoliopsida; Asterales; Asteraceae
Description: hypothetical non coding rna
Source: RNAcentral
GAGUCUCAAAGUUAACCAGCUGAUUCAUAUUCCACCAUGCUCUUCUCCCACGCCUUCAUCCACUUCCCAAACCCUAUUUUUGUUUCUUUCCCUUUGAUUUCAAAACUCGCUUGGUUAGGGAUUUGUGUGUGCUUGUGAUAGCUAGGGAGUGAGCGAUAGGGGGAAACGACACUCGUGGUGGCUGCAUACGACAGAGGAACAUCAAAUUACGCCAGAAUUUGCUCUAGAUGAACAAAUCGACAUCAUCAAAGCACAACUAUGCCACCUUCUCGAGGUUAGUGAGCCAGAAAAGUGGGAUAAAGUUUGUCUUCUUCUUCUUCAGAACACAACAAAUGUGAGUUUACCUUUUGGGGGUUUUUAUUUUCGUGGUUCUAGAUAUAUUGUUGUUCUUAGGAAUCAACAUCAUCUCUAACAAGUUUUCUUUAUAGGUUUCGCUAAAUGUCAACACUCAAUCAGAUACUACCUGUUGGGUUGAGAACAUGCAUUUUUUAGUUCAGGCCGUGUUACGGUGUUAGAUAGUUUGCCAUAAAAUAAUGUUAAAUAACAUUUUUAUGAUGUUUUUUGUCACACCCUCAAAUUCCACAUGCGGGGUUUUACCACGAGGCAUGUGACUGACCAGGAUCUAGCCACUAAUCAUAUUGAACCAAUUAUUAAAGUUAUAAAGUUAUCACAAUCAACACGAUUAGUGAUCAAAGUUUAAAAGUCUAAAACAUAGUUUAAGUUAACAGCGGAAGCAAGAUUAAAAUCCAGACACAACUCAAAACCAUAAGUUCAUAUCAAUAUUAAAAUGUAAGGUUAAUAACCCAUGACACUCCAACCAUUGCAAGCCUUCGUCCAGCUGUACCUAACGACCUUCAAAGCAUGCAAUAGUGUGUCAACAUAAAGUUGGCGAAUUCACAAUUUCAUUUAAGCAUAGAGCGUAAAUGUAAGUUCACAGGCAAAGCAUUACAAGUAUGACUCGGGUAGCUAACCUUCAUCAAGGUAACUAAACCGUGUGUACCGAAUGUUGACGUUAUAGUCUUUAUGCCAUCACCAAUGUCUAUCCACAUUGAUGAAUUAAAAAGGUCAAUAGUUCACGUCCGGCUCCCAGCACGAUGUGAGGUUUGUCAAAUCUAGUAGCACUAUCAACUAAUACCCCACCUGCCAACCCGACAUACUAAUCGGUAAAAUAUGUAGGGACUUCCAGAUAUAGUUUACGUUUAGUUUAAUGUACUAUUCCCAUGUCCAGGGAUAGUAGAGUACGUGUGAUCCCAAUGUAGGGAUGCGCGUGUAGCCCCAAACUAGGGGCACUGCAUGUGUUUCCCAAACUAGGGACGCAUGCUUUGAAAAAGAGUUGUUAACUCACCUUAGUUUGCUCGGCUAGAAAAUAUGUGAAUAGUAGCAGAAGUGGUCAACCUCGUCCUGAUAUGGUUACCGUUUUAGUUAGUUUGGGCUCACGUAUUCCUCCACGUAUACUAACACAUAACCAUGCAACACGUUGAUACUUAAUUAAUCAGUUGAGUGAUCAUGAGUAGGUCUACACCUCAUGUCAUGUAUUAUGUCUACCUAGGUUUCAAAUCAUGCAUUGACACUUCAUACCAACUAUCACAAACAAUCACCUACACAAACAUUAAGUUUCAACUUACAUAGUUGCAUAUCAGUUUUUGAGCAGUUUUCCGGAAUUUAUUUAAAAUACCAACAUAUUCGAAAAAUUAUGUUAUUUUCAUGAGACAUGUCAUUUAUUCCACUAUGACUUGUGAAAUUUUCUCAUGACCAAAUUAUUCAUAGAAAAAUCAUUAAAAAUCAUUUAUCACACAUAGGUCUAAUUCGUCACAUUUGGGCGACAGU